AGCUUCUUAGCGCAGUAGGUAGCGCGUUGGGCUCAUACAAACCCUAUGAUAUCCUUUCCACUUUCGAGUGGCGAUACCCAAAGGUCGUCGGAUCGAAACCGACAGAAUCUA
This 111-nucleotide transfer RNA is filed under the name Pseudozyma hubeiensis SY62. It matches the Rfam family "tRNA". Rfam says of the family: Transfer RNA (tRNA) molecules are approximately 80 nucleotides in length. Their secondary structure includes four short double-helical elements and three loops (D, anti-codon, and T loops). Further hydrogen bonds mediate the characteristic L-shaped molecular structure. tRNAs have two regions of fundamental functional importance: the anti-codon, which is responsible for specific mRNA codon recognition, and the 3' end, to which the tRNAs corresponding amino acid is attached (by aminoacyl-tRNA synthetases). tRNAs cope with the degeneracy of the genetic code in two manners: having more than one tRNA (with a specific anti-codon) for a particular amino acid; and 'wobble' base-pairing, i.e. permitting non-standard base-pairing at the 3rd anti-codon position. Lineage: Eukaryota; Fungi; Basidiomycota; Ustilaginomycetes; Ustilaginales; Ustilaginaceae. The record is from Rfam by way of RNAcentral.